Molecule: ribosomal RNA, 633 nt
Filed under: uncultured fungus
Lineage: Eukaryota; Fungi
Description: eukaryotic LSU rRNA
Rfam family: 5.8S ribosomal RNA (bases 165-318)
Source: RNAcentral
UCCGUAGGUGAACCUGCGGAAGGAUCAUUAAUAGUGCCCUCUGAUGCAAAUCAUUGGGUUAGAUCUGCUCUCUUCGCAAGAAGAGGGUUUCCAUACACACCGUGAACUGUGGCUUCGGCCAUCACAAACUGUUAGUAAUGAAUGUAAUAUCAUAACAAAAACAAAACUUUUAACAACGGAUCUCUUGGCUCUCGCAUCGAUGAAGAACGCAGCGAAAUGCGAUAAGUAAUGUGAAUUGCAGAAUUCAGUGAAUCAUCGAAUCUUUGAACGCACCUUGCGCUCCUUGGUAUUCCUUGGAGCAUGCCUGUUUGAGUAUCAUGAAAUCCUCAAAAUAUAUCUUUCGUUCAUUCGAUUGGUUUUAUUUUGGACUUGGAGGUCUGCAGAUUCACGUCUGCUCCUCUCAAAUGCAUUAGCUGGAUCUCAGUGAGCUCGGUUCCACUCGGCGUGAUAAGUAUCACUCGCUGAGGACACUGUAAAAAGUGGCCGGGAUUGCAGAUGAACCGCUUCUAAUCGUCUAUUAGCUUAGACAAUUAAAUCUUAUGAUCUGAUCUCAAAUCAGGGGUAGGGGGGACUACCCGGCUGGAACUUAAGGCAUAUCAAUAAGGCGGGGGAGGGGAAGGUCGGACUGGCCAA